UAUAUAACAAACUCUUCUCCUCCUCUCAAACCCCAUCACCAAAUCCUCAAAUUCCUCAUUUGCCCGUCACACAUUAUAUUCGACCUCUCUAUCUUUUUUUUCCUUAACAUAAUCAGAAUAUUGGUAUAUCCAUAGAUGCAGUGAGCAUACCCAUGUAGAAGCACAAAAUGGGACCCAUUGGUAAUCCAUUGUUACAAGCCUUUUCAGGUGAACUACACGCCAAAAGGGGAAAAAAUGAAAAAGAGAAGAGCAGGAAAUACAUAUGAUGAAAGAAAAAUCGUGGAAGGAAUUUAACUUGCAUUAUGUGUCUUUUUUCUUUACUUUUGUUUAAACUUCUCAAGCUUGGUUAUGCAUGCUUGCCUUGACCAUAUAUGAACCUAGCUGCUCCCUCGGUGUAUACAUGAGUUUCAUUGUCCAGCCUACCAAUAGUCUUUGAAAGCAUGUCAAUAAUAGAAUAUUUGAGGAGAAUAACUAUAAGAAGAUAGGGCUAUAAUUUCGCUUACGAAGUGCGAACAACUUUGCACAAAGUUGAGGUUGAUGAAAAUGUUUUCCGGUCAAGAUAUCUAUUUUCCCCUUUAGUCCUCUGCCUCAUUCUGAUGUCUACUUCUUCAGCACUCAGGUCCAAUGGUGAAUCUGAAGCCUGGUAUAUUCCAAGGACAAAGGGUGCAAGACAUCCACCGAGUUAAUAAUUCAAGACAAAGAAAUCACAACAUGGCUAGAAGAACAAAGUCCCUUGCCGCCUUAAUUGGCCUCUUGGGCAGCCGUUCAAUUCCUACUCGGAAACGGGAAAACAAAGUCUCUUUCCGCCUUAAUUGGCCUCUUGGACAGCCGUUCAAUUCCUACUCGGAAACGGGAAAACAAAGUCCCUUGCCGCCUUCAAUGGCCUCUUGGGCACCCGUUCAAUUCCUACUCGGAAGCAGGAAACAAAAGUCCCUUGCUGCCUUCAAUGGCCUCUUGGGCACCCGUUCAAUUCCUACUCGGAAGCGGGAAAGCAAAAGUCCAUUGCCGCCAAAAGAAGACCGGCCCUCCGAGAUAAAAAUGGUUUAUUAAAAGAAGACUGGUCCUCCGGGAUAGAAAUGGUUUACUAGAAGACCUUUGGGCACCCUUCUUUUUCCUAAUUGGAAGCGGGAAAAUUAUUGAACAUUUGAUUCUGAAAGAUCAUAAUCAACGCACAAGACAUGAUCAUAUAGGGUUCUCACACUUUUCUCAGCUUCAAACUCGGAAGCAAUUACAAACCCAGAGACGACUACAACCAACGAGCAACACGAUAAAGCCCUGGAACCCGAAAGCAUUCAUAAGCUGGGUUUUCCCGGCAUUCGUAUCAUUUUUCACAACACUAAAUACUAUUUGAUAGGCACGAGGGCUUUACUUUUACCCUGGCAUUCCGGCUAUGCGCAAUGCCAAGCUGGGGGGCUUAUGUUAUGGACCAAUUAAAUGGUCUUUACUUUUAUCCCCACUACAUGAAGCACUUCACUCCCCUACUUUCUCUCAACUUCCCUCCACUACAUAUAACCACCCAUUAUGAGCACCACUUCUCUAACUGCUAGUGCACUUUAUCUAUAUAUAGCUCUCUAUAGCAAAGGAUUAAAAGGGGGAAUACAACAUCUUUACAACCUAUUAAUGUUCAUUCCAGAAAACUUCUCAUUCUCUUUCUCUCUCUCUGGUGUUGGUUCAAAACUUGUGUGUUUUUUUAUUUAGAUUUUCCUGCACCCCUUGCCGCAAAGAUUUAUUAUUCACAAAGGACCAAUCGACUACGUGCCACAAUUCAUCAUCUUUACUUCUAGGACCUAAUGAGGAAUUGUGCACUGAUGUUAUGAGUCCAAAGGCAUUACAAAGAAAGAUGGUUAUAUUCCAAGAUUCAUGUCAGAAGGACCCUUCAUUUGUUCAAAUGGACAACAUGCUCAACAAGGAGGCAACAGAUAAAGAAUGGGUUCAAAUGCAUUCGAAUGCAAGGAAAGUUCCUUCUAAAUGGUUUCCCCAUCAAAAGUUGUUGUUUAUUUAGAGCCACGGAGUAUGCUCUAUAUAGGUUUAGUUCUUAGUAGUAAAAAUAAUUGAAAUGGAAAGUAAC
Gastrolobium bilobum is the source of this 2068-nucleotide RNA transcript. RefSeq lists it as uncharacterized. Lineage: Eukaryota; Viridiplantae; Streptophyta; Magnoliopsida; Fabales; Fabaceae. The record is from RefSeq and is a predicted model, not a curated record. The transcript is spliced from 3 exons.